CCAAUCGUGUAUCAAUCCCCUUCUCCUCCCGAUCCCUUCUUUCCCUUCGCCUACAAGUUCUUCCUCACCUCGCCUCAAUCCCCUCCGCCCCCGUUCGCCCAACCACGGCUCCUCUGCUCCCAGCGACGGCAGCCCCGGUCGACGCCCCUACUAGCGACAGCAACCCCGCCCAGCGGCCCUCCCCCUGCUUCGUCCCGCCGCUCCACCUGGGACCACCCUCCUUCGUCGUGCCCAAUUCAAGUUUCAGGUGGCCGCGGCUACGUGGCUGGCCGAUCGCCUCUAUCCAUCCAUUCCGUGAGGUGAUUCCACGGCUUGCUCGGUUCCACCGCACUUGCAUCUCCUCUCUAAUCUACUUAUUUGGGCGUGCUGCGCAGUGCCGCUAGGGCCAUCCGCUUGCCGAAUUGCUAUGUAAGCCCCAGAUGGACCCGUCUGCUUGCCGGGAUGUCAGUAGUACAUUAGUUUUAGUUUCUCUCUUUCAUUUCCCUGUCAGACUCAUUGAUUUUACUGGUUACCUACAAUGCAUAUUUAUUUGACCAGGUAAUGUAAUAGUCUAUGUUUGUCUAAAAAGUAGAACCAAUGUUCUAUUCCGAUUGCUAAAUUAGAUUUGAUAAUUGUUUUCUUCCUUUGUAAUGAAGUUUGAAAAUUGACCGUCUCCAUACAGAUUUCUUCUCCAAUAUGCUCGCUUUAGCAAGUUGGCACACUGAUUAUAUAUGGUUUUAUCUUUGUUGGGUUCCUUAUAAUUACGUCAGUUUGGAAGUGAAUGGUUCUAUUUUUUGGGUAGGAUUUCAAGGUAGUCUGAAAGAGGCAUGAAGGGCCGUUAAGUAUGCCAUUAAGCAUGGGGUCUUCCAUUUGGGAUUUAUGUUCUUCGGUUGCAGAUUUGUAGCGUUUGCUUCCCGUAUUCAAUAUAGUUCCUACUGAGAAGUUUCUUUUGUGGAAGCAGGUAAGUUAUAGCUGUAGGCUCAGAACAAGGUUAGUAAUAUUAUAUUUUUUUUACACACGCCGAUGCAUGGAGAGUAACAUAAUGCAUGUGCCUUCCACCGUGAUUGCUGCUGAGGGAUUACUACUGUGUUAAGCUUCAUGAAAAGUCACGUAAUGUCCUUUUUUUGUUGAGCCAAGACAGGAUGCUCUUCAUGUAGUUUGGUACAAUAAACAUGUUUCUUUUAUGAUUAUGCUUCAUCAUAUGAUGUAUGAUUACACACAAGUUUGUUUAUAGUUUUGCAGCCUGCUUAUACAUGGUUUCACCCUCUUUUCUUGGAUUUCUCAGUCGGUGUGCUCCUUACAUUACUAGAUUAUAUUGAAGUAUUAAGUUAAUUACAUAUGCCCUAGAGUCUGUUGUCCAACUCUUUAAGCACAAUUCCAGGGUAGUUUCAAGGUGCCUUGAGGGACUAUUACCACUUGCUUUUUCUUUUAUGAUUUCUAUCACUGGGAAGCAGUUAUUACAUCAUGUUUCUUAUCGUCGGUUGUGGUUGCCGUUGCACUGAUAUCAUGUCUUCACCUCCUGAAAAAUCGCUGCCUAAUCGACACCGUACACGGAGCCAGGCCAUACUUGCUUCCUCACCUUCAGAAGAGAAGAGUGGGUGCUAUUCAUGUUGGAUGGAACCGUUAUCUGGUCUCAUGCCAUUUGAAAGUGACCUUGUGUCUGGUCUGCUCCAACAGAAAGAUCAUAACUUGGUUAAUUGCUAUAUAGGUAGUCUGCACCAAGCCAAUAUCAAGACUUAAAUUCCGCUGGUGUGCUCUCUCCUACAGCAAAGAAUGAUGUGCACUAAGUAGCACUAGCACCCACGGAUGUGUAAUUUGGGAUCUACCUCGACCAAUACUUGCGAUUUGUAAACCAUACAAUAUGUUGUUCAAAUUAGAAGAUUGCGAUA
Molecule: long non-coding RNA, 1868 nt
Organism: Phragmites australis (common reed)
Lineage: Eukaryota; Viridiplantae; Streptophyta; Magnoliopsida; Poales; Poaceae
Exons: 2
Source: RefSeq, a predicted model, not a curated record